RNAcentral lists this ribosomal RNA (324 nucleotides) under uncultured eukaryote. RNAcentral describes it as "partial 18S ribosomal RNA". It matches the Rfam family "Eukaryotic small subunit ribosomal RNA", at positions 1470 to 1796 of the family's 1831-position model. The record is from RNAcentral.
CCCUUAGAUGUUCUGGGCUGCACGCGCGCUACACUGAUGCGAUCAACAAGUUUUUCCUAUGUCGAUAGACACGGGUAAUCUUUUGAACUCGCAUCGUGAUGGGGAUAGAUUAUUGUAAUUAUUAAUCUUCAACGAGGAAUUCCUAGUAGGUGCAAAUCAUCAGUUUGCAUCGAUUACGUCCCUGCCCUUUGUACAUACCGCCCGUCGCUGCUACCGAUUGGUUGAUCUGGUGAAUUAUUCGGACUGCCGGCUGAAGGGGUUUCCUCAUCUGCCAGCGGAAAGUCUUGUUAACCCUAUCAACUAGAGGAAGCAGAAGUCGUAACA